This is a long non-coding RNA of Daphnia carinata, 2391 nucleotides long. RefSeq lists it as uncharacterized. The transcript has 10 exons. Lineage: Eukaryota; Metazoa; Arthropoda; Branchiopoda; Diplostraca; Daphniidae. The record is from RefSeq and is a predicted model, not a curated record.
GAUAUAUAUGUUACGCUUUCAAUUUGUUGCCAGACAAUUGUAUUUGUUUUGUUUCAAAUUCGUUCGUUUCAGAACGGCCUAGAAGGACAACAGUUCCAUUAAGACUAAUUUCCAUGGCUAUGACGUCGUCUAAGCACGUUUUACCUUUCGUCUCUGGUAGCAAAAAGUAAACAAAGAUGGCGCUCAAUAAAGUGCAUCCGCAGAAGAAGUAGAAGGUCCCGUCUUUGCCCAUUGCUCGCAACAUGUCGGGGAAGAAUCGGACCAUCACGAAAGUGCAAAACAAAUGGAAAGAUGAGCUGAUCCCGCCCAGCAGCGUUCGAUAUCGCAACGGGAACAUUUCGCCCAUGAUGAUGAACGGGACGUUACUGAUCCCACCGGAAUACGUAACGAAGAAGACGAUGAGAGAUACGAGUGGCAGCCAACCAAAAUAAUCCGUUGCUUCUCUCUCGCCCCAUUGACGUUGGAAAUAGAAAAAUGUGCCCAUUGCUGUUAAAGGAAUCGACGUGCUGAUUGCGGAGACAAUGUACAACAUCCGCCUUCCGCAUCGAUCCACCUAAAAUUAAAGGUAUUAAUGUUUUUCUUUUGUUGGUAGAUGUCGACGUACCAGAAAUCCCGAGGCGACGGUGAAAACCAAUUGGACAGCGCCGACGAUGAUGGUGGCGUAUCUUCCAUCGAUGGUGCUUCCGGCCGACUGGAAGAUGCUCACGGUGUAGAAUACAAUGGCGUUGAUUCCGGUUGUCUGCUGGAACAGCAUGAUGCUCAACGAGAUGAAUAAGGGCUUAACAACCGGCCCUGAAGUCAAAACAUUGCGGAAUUCUUGCAAGAUCGUGUCAUCCUGCCCACUUUUAUUAGCCACACGACCCUGAUGUUCUUUAAUCCGCUCGAUUUCGGCUUCGAUGUUCGUCCCUCUGCUGAAGAGAAUGUCGGGCCUCUUGAUGCCGGCCCUUCGAUGUGAGCCAAACUGGAGAUUCCGGCAGGAAGAAAGAUCCGGCCAUGAAGAGGACGGGCAAACAGCCUAGAAUCCAAGACAAGACGUGCCAAUCCACGAACGAUCCGAUGAUGUACGUCAACCACACGCCUAAAGCCAAAGAAGACGCUGUCAUUGAUCCCAUCCGGCCUCGUAUCCCAGAUUUGUGCUGCGGGGGUGGUGCAUCCUGCUGCGAAUCCCAUCAGGAAUCGUCCAACGUACAACAUGGAUUUAUGUUUGCCGAAGUAGGUGAACCCAGUGAUGAGGAAUCCGCUAAUGAAGAUGAGUCGGAUGAAGACAUUUCAAAAUCCAACGUGCGAUUCAAGGAUGGAAUGCCUGGAGAACUCCAUCCGCGGACGGAACCCAUGGAAAAGUAGCCCCAUGUUGCCCACACUGCCACGAUCAACUAUGAAACAAUCGCAUAAACAAAAGUGCACACCUGUUUAAUGAGAAAUCUGGAACUAACCUGAGAUGUGAACGACGUAUGUAGUCUUGGCGUGUACACAGUGAACUAUAGGCGCGUGACAUGGAUGUGACGUGCGUGACAAACAGCUUCCGGAUUUCCCCAUUGCAAAAUUUCGUGAUUCAGUAAAAACAUCGACAGGUUCAGUGAGUACCUGCUAAGGGGAAAUGUUGGCACGGAAUGCGGGGCAGGUCCAAUGCGCGCUCCGUUCCACCUGUAAUUUGCUGAGGUUUUUCCCUCAUCCCACAAAAAAAGUGACGUUUUGGAGGCAGUCGUGUUUUGGACGCAUCCUUGGAUACAACUGGAUCACCACUGUCAAUUGUUGGGUCUUAAUUACCGUAACUGAAUUAGAAAAAAAAUGGAUCAUAGUUCGUCGAGGAAUUCAUUGCAAGCCGUAAAUCCAGGUGCAAAACCGGUAGAAAACAAGGUUGGUCAUUUCUCUUAUGUCAAUCAAACUCAAAAGCAUUCAGCGAUUUGCACCGUGACGCAAGAAAACAUGCGGAUGCGCCAAACCAUCAACAAAACGGCGCAUUGUAUGAACCAAUGGCUACGACAAACUCAACAACAAACUCAGAACGUCAUUAAACUGGCCGAGACGCUCAAAACGUCCAUCCCGAACAACUCACGACACGAUAUAGACGCCAUGAUUAAACAGAUGAAAGUUCGUGAGUGCCGAUGGGCUGAAGAAAGGGUGGCCUUUGAAGAUAUGCAAAAACGUUCGACGAGUCAAUAACUUUCAAUCAGCAACGAGGUAACUGCACAUGUUUGUUUUUGUCGAUGUGUGCACUUGCAUGUAGACCGGUUUGGCUAUUUGUCAAUGUAAUUCAGUUUGAUCCGAUUCCAUUGCGGUGAAUGACCGAACGGUAACACAUUCAGGUCACUUAUCUUGAGGACAACUUGUGGUCAUUGACAUAGUUUUCUUUUUAUCGAGUGUUUUCAUUAAACCCUGUUUUAAACUCUU